Molecule: small RNA, 73 nt
Filed under: Atlantibacter hermannii
Lineage: Bacteria; Pseudomonadati; Pseudomonadota; Gammaproteobacteria; Enterobacterales; Enterobacteriaceae
Also listed under: 1 other name
Description: OmrA-B family
Rfam family: OmrA-B family
Source: RNAcentral
CCCAGAGGUAUUGAUUGGUGAGAAUUCCAUACCCACUCUUGCACCAACCUGCGCAGAUGCGCAGGUUUUUUUU